Molecule: long non-coding RNA, 903 nt
Filed under: Triticum aestivum (bread wheat)
Lineage: Eukaryota; Viridiplantae; Streptophyta; Magnoliopsida; Poales; Poaceae
Description: long non-coding RNA (TAES_LNC015928)
Source: RNAcentral
GCAAACAGAGCUAAGAUUAUAAUCAGCAGCGAUCCUUCGUUCUUCAAUCAAGAAAAGGCUGAUAUCAGCUUCCACCUUUCAGAAACCAUGAAGCUAGCUUAUGGAUUAAUCUUUCUGGGGUUCUUACAGUCUGUUGCAUGUCAGAUGAUUGAUCAACAGGGUAAGACCUUUAUACUGGGAUUUUUACCUUCAGCACAUAAAGUAACUUGAAAACUGAACUGCAUAUUCAGAUUAAGAAUUUUGACCAGAAGAUGUCACACAUUACUAGUGACGCCAAAAAAAAAACUGUGCAGUAGAAUAGACAUUUUUUUUCAAAGGGCUGUAGAAUAGACUCUUUCGAAAAUAUAAACACUUCACUGGAUUUUGGAUCCUUGCACCUGUCGUUGUCAAUUGUGUGAAUUAGCAAUGCCGAGAAAACAACCAUAAGAAGAGACGAACACAUAUCCUUUCUUUUGUGUGUGAAAUCACGACAUUUUCAUUGUAGUGCCUUGGUGCACAUUCACUUCAUGCAAUGGAAUAGUCUUUAAAAAUGUAGACACUUAUUUUGAGCUUCUGCAGCGGUAGAACAAGCUUAAGCAUGAGCUUCCCUUGAUUAUCCAGAGGGCAAAGAAUAAACAUCUUAAUCAGUUUUUCGGUGCUUAAUCAGUUUAUUGCUUGGCGUGAUCUUUUCAUGUUAUUUGUUUUACGAUUUUAUAUAUCCUUUCACUAGCUCUACGUCAGUUAGAGUCCAUAUUGCAAAUAAAACAUGCAAUAGAUGUUCUCUUUGAUUGAUUAUUUACAUUUUUAUUACUAAUAAAACUUGCCUUUCUCCAGUCCAGGUUCUGUCUGAAGUAAAGAUGAUGCUGAAUGACAGUCGCGGUGUGUUAGAAGAAUGGAAUGACCAUCUAGAUACUGCAUGUAGUG